Molecule: long non-coding RNA, 480 nt
Organism: Mastomys coucha (southern multimammate mouse)
Lineage: Eukaryota; Metazoa; Chordata; Mammalia; Rodentia; Muridae
Exons: 2
Source: RefSeq, a predicted model, not a curated record
UCAGUCAGAACUUGGUGAACAUGUGAACUAAGCUCAAGUAUAAAAGCUGAUCUGUGCCAUAAAGGAAUCCACACAGAGGAAAGAUGAAUAUCCUAACACACCCGUGGGAUUUAACAGCACUGAAGAAAUGGAGUGAAUUCAGGAGGAGCAGAGAACUGGACUUUUUGUAUGAAGGAAUCAGGACCAACCACAGAGAAGAAGGUCAGAGCCUUAGAACAGUAAGGGUAUAUACCAGUGAGCAAGAUCAUGUUCCAGGCACUUGGGACAAUAGUGGAAUUUACCAGAUCUAAGACACAUUGUAAACUAUAUAAUAAAAACUAAAGUCUACGCUUAGGGAAAAAGUGUGUUAAGGAAAAGAACCAUACACAUGGUAUUUUAUAUAUUUUGAAUACAACUUGGUCUGAUGUGAUAUAUCUGGAAUGGAGUGAUCAAGUUAGACUUAUUUUCAAAUUAGGCAUUAAAAGAUAUUUUGAAAGGCAA